Molecule: small RNA, 208 nt
Filed under: Pseudomonas sp. BAY1663
Lineage: Bacteria; Pseudomonadati; Pseudomonadota; Gammaproteobacteria; Pseudomonadales; Pseudomonadaceae
Description: PhrS
Rfam family: PhrS
Source: Rfam by way of RNAcentral
AUCGGACAUUGAAAUGGUUACGGAGGUAGGUCUCAUGUUUGUCGAUAGUGUAGUGCUCGCUGGGGUGGUCACGGUCGGCCUGAUGAUCGCCUUCUUCGGUGGUGUCGGUUAUUUCAUCUGGCGGGAUUCGCACAAGAAGAAGGGUUGAUCCCGACAGAUACAAAGAGCACGCAAGGCAUUUGGGCGACCUCUGGUCGCCUUUUUUUUG